GGAAGAGAAGCUACGCGACUCAUUUCAGUCAUCCAGUCAGUGGUCAGUGGCGUCAGCUUCGUUGUGGUGUACGUGUGAGUCUUCUGUGUUUUCUUGGACGCUUAUUUGGGCUUUAGGUGAACCAAGACUACCAAAGCUUGUCCUCUGUGGUCAGCAGCUGUGACACAAGGAGCAGCUGUCUCAGCGGAGAGACGGUGGACGGCGGAUGAAUACUUCGGCUCCCGCGCCUUCUUCCGCAUCAUGUCCGACCCGCCGAUCCUGGUGGUGGGCGGCGUGCGUCAGAGGAGUUGAAAAAUGUAUGGGACACGCUGCUGUGCUCUGCGUGUAGCUGUGAGGUGAGAGAAGACACAGUAUGUUGAGGGAAGGCAGCUGCACUAGUGACAGCAGCAGCAGAGCCCCACCACUGCUGCUGCUCCUCUCCUCUUCCCAGCACAGCAGCACACAGGACACAUUUCCAUCAUCUUUAAAUCCCGGACACUUGUGCCUUGGUGAUAAUCUCACAGCAGCAAACCCUACAUUGCUCAGGUCAACUUCCAGCUAGAAUCAUAAUAUCUGGAGUUAUUUUUCCACAAAGAAGGAUUCAAAAUAUCCCCCCCAAAAAAUAAGAUAUUUUUAGAAAUGAAAAUCCACUCGAAUUUUCUGCCUGAAGCUCUCGUUAAAAUGACUCCCUCUUGAAUCUUGUGUCCGACUCCAGCUGUGUCCAAGAGAAUGGAUCUCCAGUUUGUAGUGAGACUUCCGAGCCGCCCAGACCUGUGAAGGCGAGCAGUCUGUCAGAUAAUGAGAGUAGACAACAUAAGCAACAUAAUGAGAGACAAAGUCACAAUAAUAGAGAUAAAAUGAAGGCACUCAAGUAUUAAUGAGAAAACAAAACAGAAUAAUAAGCAAAGUAAAAUAAUGAGACAAUAAGGCCAGUCAACAAAUAAUAGUGAAUUUACUGUAGGAAGGGUCUGCUGUACUACUUAAUGACCAUUCAAGUCUACUUGUUAAAGAUGUGUUUACACUUUGAAGUGUCAUUUUCUUGUACUAUGAUACAUUUUUUACUAUUUUCUUCCACCUGCCUUAAUUAACAUUGAGUAGAGUCUCACUAAUACAACUUGAAUAUUACUCAGCCGGCAGUCUUUGCCAUGGUGGAGUGUGACACUGAAUCAGUACUGACAUUUUAUCAUUUACAUUUCAUUACUUUGAUUACUCAACAAAAUACUGCAUUGUUUUUUGUAACCUGCUGACUGGUGAAGGGACAACGUGUGCUCCUCAACACUUGGUUCUUGCCACGUGCCGCAGCAGACUGACAGCUUCCAGUGGGCCUGUCUGAGGUAAUGCACCACACAACAUUAGGAAUAGGAACAAUUAUUUCACUAAAACUUUAAUUACCUGCACUAAAAACUUUCAAUGAGUUUAUGUACUUUGUGAAUUUAGGAAUCUGGAACAAUGAUUGCACUUAUUUAACUACCUGCACUAAAGUGUUUGCUUUAGUUAUGGUGUUGACAGUAAGUAUAAAUACUUUAAGGGGCGUGACCUCCGCCGCAUUGCUUCAGCAGCCUUCAAGUCCCGGCAAUGAAACGGUUCGUGUGAGGAAGACUGCUUCUGGUGCUACUGGUGGAAAUUGUUACUAGUGUGUAAGUAUGUGGUAAAUAUCUGUGGAAACCAAAGGAUGUUUUCACUCGUACCAAACGUUAUGGUCAUGGAGAUACCUCUCUUCCUGCACACAAAACAACUACAACCACCUAAUUAUUACACACACACUCCUAUACCAGCCUCGGAGUCCCCAUCUGGUAACGACCCUAAAUGUCUUGACACCCCUCUCAGUUUUUCUUCUUAAACUUCUACAGAUUGAACGCGAAUGUUGCAGAACACUGCCUCUCCUCUAUUAAGCUUCAUCAUCCUUUCCUCACUGAAACCCUGGUGUCUGAGGCAACUGACAGUAGCCCCUUUUCAGUUUCCUCUUACUUUCUCUAUCCAAAGCUGGAUGUUGUGUUUAUGUGCGCAAUGAAAUUAACCUGCUUUCGUGCCCACGCUCUUGAAUCUUUCGGGUUUUCCACCACCUGGCUACGACAACAGAGUCCCUUUCAUACUAAAUUUAUCUGUGUUGUAUACCUUUCACCUAACUCCUCUGACUGUAAGAAAUUCUUUGACUACUUAACUUCCAAAGUGGAGCACAUUCUAACUCUCUUCCCUUUUGCAGGGAUCUCCAUUCUUGGAGACUUCAAUGUUCACCACCAGCUUUGGCUUUCCUCUCCCUUCACUGACCAUCCUGGUGAACUAACCUUUAAAUUUGCUAUCCUCCAUGACCUAGAGCAAUUGGUGCAACACUCUAAUCGUAUUCCUGACCGUCUUAGAGAUAUGCCCAACAUUCUUGACCUUUUCCUGACCUCUAAUCCUUCUGCUUAUUCUGUUACCCUCUCUUCUCUGUUGGGCUCUCCGAUCACAUCUAGUAUCUGUAUCUUGUCCUAUCACUCCAAUCCCUCCUCAGGAUCCCCUAAGCGAAGGUGCCUCUGGCGUGUUGGCUAUGCUAGUUGGGGGAACCUGAGGAGGUAUUUUGCUGAUUUUCCUUGGAAUGACUACUGCGUCCGUGACGGAGACCGCCCUGUGUGCCGAGUGCAUAAGAGGUGAUAGUGUCUGGCAUGGAGGCGUACAUUCCUCACUCUUUUUCUCGACCUAAACCUCCAAAACUUGGUUUAACAUAGCUUGUUCUCGUGCUAUACAUGAGAGAGAUGUGUCCCACCAAAGGUGCUUAAGCCUUCCAUCACCAGAAUCUCAUGCACUUUACAUUUCUGCCCGGAACCAUGCCAAGUCUGUUCUCCAACUAGCCAAAAACUCCUUCAUUAAUAGUGUCAAAACCUUUCAAGAUCUAAGUGCCCCCGUGACUUCUGCCACUUAACCCAAAAAACAUCUAUAAUAACUUUGAUUCUUCUUUCCCUCCUUUAUUUCAACCAGAUGGCACCACUGCUAUCACAUCUAUCUCUAAAGCUGAACUCUUUGCUCAAUCCUUUGCUACAAACUCUACCUUGGACGAUUCAAGGUUUGUUCCUCUCUCUCCUCCACUAGCGUAGACAAGACUGUCAGUAUACAAUGGACAUGACACACUGAGGCAGCUGGUACUGCUUUGGCUCUAAAUGUUAUAAUAAUACUCUGCCACUUUGUUGACGAGUGACAAUACAACCUCUCGUUCCUCAGACUGUUCUUUUCACGUAACAGCUUCAAACCAAAUCCUGAAAUACUGAACCAACAUGAACCACCUCUGCUAUCAAGUAGUCAGCACUGUGAAGGGCUGUACAGUUCCUUACCUCACUAAAUAAUAAUACUUUCUGAUCCAAUCUGUCUCUGUCUGUCUGUCUGCUGCCAUGGCUUGACCUGCUCUUCUUUCAUCUGUAGCUUCCAUUCUGUCUGCCGUCUCCCUGCAUCCUCUUGUCCACCACACCAUCCUCCCUUGUGUGUUUGCUGCCACUGUCUAUCUAGAAAAAAAUGUUUUCUGCCAAACCUUGAACUAGUACAACAUGAACCACCUGUGGUCUAAUCUUUCUCCAGCAUUUCUUCUGUCCACUGUCACUGUCUGAACCAGUCACCUAACACACCAUCCUUCCUGCCACGGUCAUCCCUCUCUGAUGCUCUUCUCUUUCUCCCUCUCUCAGCGUGGUGGCAGCACGGGCCUCGGCACUCCCUGGCACCACGGCAGGUGUCAGUGAGGCAGGCAGGUGUUGGUUCAAGUCCUGGCAGUGUCACUUCGCUGCUGUAUUGUUUGGUGCAGCGGAUGAUGCUACGUUUUUCAUCACUUAGUGUAGAGUCUAUUUUUGCUUGACGUUAUUUGUGUUGGUAAGGCAUUUCCACUAUAUAGUGGUAGAUAUUCUGGGAAAUAAGGAAUUAGCAAUACUAAGACAUGCUUGAACAACACUCACCAGUGUGGAAGACUUGUCAGGCAGUGGCUGUAGUGGCUUCACUUGAACCACGACCAUGUUCUCCUCAACCCUUGGAAAGAGAACAAUUCAUCUGAAAUGGAGAUACAAAGAUAUUGGGGAAAAUUUAAGAGAGAGACGCUGCAAAGUGUAGCUGACAGUGUGCGUGUCGUCAUCAAGAGGAGGGGCUCUAAAAUGAAACAGUAGGACACUCGUGAAGACAUUCAUACUAUCUUUUCUCAAGGGAAGUGUGUGUCGUGUGUGUUAACAACGUCAGGCGCGGACAUUUUUUGCAUCAAGGGUGAUGUACGAUCCGGACAUGAAAAAAGUUUUUUUUCUUUUAUAAUUUUCUAAUUUUUUUCCGCUUCUUUUGAUAUAUGUAACGUUUUGAUAAGAACUAAAAAAAAUCCCCUUAUGUAAAGAGGUCUUCUGUUAUGAAAUUCCCACGGUUUCGCCCGCUGCGAGACAUGUCACACUAGUUUUUUUUACAUUUUUUUUUCUCUUUUCAUAUAUUUUUCUGACAUACCCGUUCUUCUUCACUCUCCCAUGAAUAUCUACGGUUCUCUUGCUGCAUACAAUAUUAGAAAGCACGAAAUUCUAGGUCUAACUAUUUUCUCAAAUUGAUAUACGAAAAAAAAAUCAUAUAAUUAUUUUUUUUUUCGUAAAUCUAGCAAAUAGUUAAUGUAUCUGCAUUAGAUAUCUUUUGCAUUAAUAUUUUAUUUAUUUUCAAACAAUUAAACACUGGUUUUUACUUAGAAAUAUGGCGAAAUAUAACAAAAAUUGUUUUCACCCGCCUUCUCCCCUCCCACCCGGUAAUUAAGGGUGAAAUCAUGAAUAGCUUUAGGCCUUAUACACAAAACCAAUCGGAGUAACUAAAACUAUGUCUGCUUUUUCAACAUAUUCUGAUGUAUAUAUCGCGUGAAUUUCAAGUCCCUGGCUGCAAUAGGUGAAUUAGUCACCCCUUAAACUUUAUGACAUAAUAUCUCAAAAUGGCGGAUUUUAGCAUAUAAAAAUGAUCUGCUCCGUUUUUAUUGGUGUUACAGACAGAUGGGCUGUUGCGGCUUAUCAAACUGUGAUAGGCGAAUAAAGUCUGCUGUCGUCAUUUUUGUUUGGAGUUGAUUUUGAUUUUUGACAAAUAUUUCAGUUUUUUUUUUUACUUUUCAUCGAAAAAAAAUCGUACAAUAAAAGAAAAAAGAUAGCAGACUUUGUUCUCCUAUCCUUCCUGAUCAAAAUACUUUUUAAAUAAAUGAGGGAGGAGAUACGAGUUGAACACAGGCAAUUUAACAAGGGAUUAGCGAUCCUUCAACCACCCUCAAGUGUAUGAAUAAAGGUGAUUAGUUACUUUGAUGUGGAAAGACUGUAAUUUGUAAAGAUGAGAAUAAAUGAGAAUAAAUUAUU
Molecule: long non-coding RNA, 5288 nt
Organism: Scylla paramamosain (green mud crab)
Lineage: Eukaryota; Metazoa; Arthropoda; Malacostraca; Decapoda; Portunidae
Exons: 3
Source: RefSeq, a predicted model, not a curated record